AGAGAAACGCGGGAGUGGUGGGGGAUGUGGGUUCCUGUGUGCUGAGCGGAGGAGCCGGGGUGGGGGCGGUGCAAGCGGAAGAAAGAGCCAAGAGAGCGGAAAAUCGGCUGGUGCUGUCGCCGCCCGAGUUUUGUGUUUCCACAGCUUUCCAGUUGGGUACAACGGAGCCGAACUCCGUGUUCCCGGGCUGGAGAGCCUUGGUGUCCCCGCCAACCCCCAGUAGGAAGCGAGCGCUGUAACAUGGGAGGCGUGGUCGCCACUGAUCUUGUCUCCCCCCAGAGCCUUCCUAAAGGCUCUGCCGCCACGAGACUGCACCACCGGGAAAGAAGUGUGUGAAAGUGUACUCCGUAAACAGGCAAUCCUGUACGCGACUUAGGGGCAGAAAGACCCUCCGCACUUUUAUCAUUUGAAAGUAAGGUGGACGAUUCCAGCCUGGUGUCCCUGAGGGUACACACAGGCCCCCCGCGCAGCCAGAGGUGACUCAGGAACCCCCCUUCCAACCCCUGCGUAGAACGCCGAACAGUCUUCGGAGAAUUCGCUUUCCUCCACGUGAAAAGGAAAAGAAAAACAUUUGAGGAGUCGCAGUAGUCACUUGUACUCCCCAAACACACGGGAAGAAGUUGAUCAGUUUGCAUGCUUGGAGUCAAAUUACGCUCAGCACAAAUCCAACGCCCCUGAAUUAAAUGAGCAGUAGAAGCUCUCUGCAAAAAACACAACAGUAUUUGUGACCCGGUAUUAUUUCAGGAGGCCAGUAAAGGAAUAAAAAAGAUCCACCAAGACAGAGAAUUAAAGGAGAGACUCCAGCAUAUAAGAGGUCAACCAUUUAGGAAAACAGAAAGUGGAUACAGAAGUGGCAACUGACGUAGCGGAACAGAGAAAGCUGAAGGCUAAGUUCAAGAGGCGGGGGAAGCCAGCAAGAAACAAGCUGAUUCCUGUUGCAGAACUCUCAUCAGCUCAGCAAUAAGCACCACCUGGUUCUCUGAGGGUCUCACUUCACCCAGGCUGGAAUGCAGUGGUGUGAUCACAGCUCACUAUAGUCUCGAUCUCCUGGGCCUCCCACAUCAGCCUUAUCACUCAUUCUGGGGGCAGCCCUCUGGCAUGUAAUGAGCAGUCCUAUGGAGAGGCCCAUGUGACAGUAGCCAUGCGAGUGACACUGGAAGUGAAACCUGCAGCUCCAGUCAAGCCUUUAGAAGACUGCAGCCCUGGCUGACAGCUUGACAGCAAACUCAUGAGAGACUCUCAGCUUGAACAACUCAGCUAAACUGUUCCUGGGUUCCUGGUCCUCAAAAACUGUUAUAAAAGACAUUGUGGCUACCAUCUCUCAUCACUCACUCAAAGGGAAGCCAACCACCAUGCAAUGAGAAUCUCAGGUAAUGAGGACCUGAGACCUGUUGUCAAUCACGUGAAUAAGCUUGGGAGGAGAUUCUCCAGCCCCAGUCAAGCCUCAGAAGACUUCAGCCCUAGGUGACAGCUUGAUGAUAAUCUCGGGAGGCAGAACCACCCAACUAAGCCACUCCUGGAUUCCUGACCCUGACCCUGACCCUAGAAACAGUGUGAGCUGGAAUUCUGUGAAGCACAUGACCUCAAGUCUUUGGAUAAAUGGAAACGCAGCUUAUGCCGGAAAGAUGGAAGGCUGGCUGUACUAAUAUCAGAAAUGGAAGAGGAGAGACAUCACUAGAGAUCCCAUGGAUAUUGAAAGGAUAAUAAAGGAGUAUUAUGAGCAUUGU
This 1727-nucleotide long non-coding RNA is filed under the name Homo sapiens (human). Its description in RNAcentral is "HSALNT0326576". The record is from RNAcentral. Lineage: Eukaryota; Metazoa; Chordata; Mammalia; Primates; Hominidae.